CUAGCGUUACAAGCAUGUGUUUGCUCAGUGCACAUGUAAGCAAGCAGUGGACAAGAGCAGAACCAGUGCUAUUCCUUCGGUGCUAGUGGCAUCUGAUUAUCUGCUAGUACUAUUCUCAAUAGCUGGGACAAUA
This is a small nucleolar RNA of Carassius auratus (goldfish), 133 nucleotides long. Ensembl annotates it as small nucleolar RNA SNORA57. Lineage: Eukaryota; Metazoa; Chordata; Actinopteri; Cypriniformes; Cyprinidae. The record is from Ensembl.